This 484-nucleotide ribosomal RNA is filed under the name uncultured bacterium. RNAcentral describes it as "partial 16S ribosomal RNA". It matches the Rfam family "Bacterial small subunit ribosomal RNA", at positions 28 to 507 of the family's 1533-position model. The record is from RNAcentral.
AUUGAACGCUGGCGGCAUGCUUUACACAUGCAAGUCGAACGGCAGCGCGGGCUUCGGCCUGGCGGCGAGUGGCGAACGGGUGAGUAAUGCAUCGGAACGUGCCCAGUAGUGGGGGAUAGCCCGGCGAAAGCCGGAUUAAUACCGCAUACGACCUGAGGGUGUAAGCGGGGGACCGAAAGGCCUCGCGCUAUUGGAGCGGCCGAUGUCGGAUUAGCUAGUUGGUGGGGUAAAGGCUUACCAAGGCGACGAUCCGUAGCUGGUCUGAGAGGACGACCAGCCACACUGGGACUGAGACACGGCCCAGACUCCUACGGGAGGCAGCAGUGGGGAAUUUUGGACAAUGGGGGCAACCCUGAUCCAGCCAUGCCGCGUGCGGGAAGAAGGCCUUCGGGUUGUAAACCGCUUUUGUUCGGGAAGAAAUCCUCUGGGCUAAUACCCCGGGGGGAUGACGGUACCGGAAGAAUAAGCACCGGCUAACUACGUG